GGGCGCAAAGCGCGCGUAGGCGGCCAAGUAAGCCGGUUGUGAAAGCCCCGGGCUCAACCUGGGAAUGGCAUCCGGAACUGUUUGGCUAGAGUGCAGAAGAGGAAGGUAGAAUUCCCGGUGUAGCGGUGAAAUGCGUAGAGAUCGGGAGGAAUACCAGUGGCGAAGGCGGCCUUCUGGUCUGACACUGACGCUGAGGUGCGAAAGCGUGGGUAGCAAACAGGAUUAGAUACCCUGGUAGUCCACGCCGUAGACGAUGUCGACUAGCCGUUGGGAGCCUUGAGUUCUUAAGUGGCGCAGUUAACGCGAUAAGUCGACCCGCCCUGGGGAGUACGGCCGCAAGGGUUAAACUCAAAUGAAUUGACGGGGGCCCGCACAAGCGGUGGAGCAUGUGGUUUAAUUCGAUGCAACGCGAAGAACCUUACCUACCCUUGACAUCCUGCGAACCCUUCGGAGACGAAGGGGUGCCUUCGGGAGCGCAGAGACAGGUGCUGCAUGGCUGUCGUCAGCUCGUGUUGUGAAAUGUUGGGUUAAGUCCCGUAACGAGCGCAACCCUUGUCCUUAUUUGCCAGCGCGUAAAGGCGGGAACUCUAAGGAGACUGCCGGUGACAAACCGGAGGAAGGUGGGGACGACGUCAAGUCAUCAUGGCCCUUACGGGUAGGGCUACACACGUGCUACAAUGGCAAGUACAAAGGGUUGCAAUACGGCGACGUGGAGCUAAUCCCAUAAAGCUUGCCUCAGUCCGGAUCGGAGUCUGCAACUCGACUCCGUGAAGUCGGAAUCGCUAGUAAUCGUGAAUCAGAAUGUCAC
Molecule: ribosomal RNA, 808 nt
Filed under: uncultured bacterium
Lineage: Bacteria
Description: bacterial SSU rRNA
Rfam family: Bacterial small subunit ribosomal RNA
Source: RNAcentral